GUGGAUGAAGAGUAGAAAACCUACAGUGGUUUUGAAAGCCCUAAAGCCACGAUGUCAAAUGGAUAUCUUCAGAGUCAAAAAUUUAUGGUAAAAGGCGAACAUGCACGAACAUCAACAACAAUGAAAGCCAUGUUGAGUGGCCCAGGUCAUUUUGCUGAGAAGGAAAGUAUUGAGGUCAAUUUGAGAGACAUCCCUUCACAAGUGCUGCCAAAAGCAUGCACAUAUUUUACCUAAAUAUUUCACUACACCUAAAGCUCCACAGAGAUUUCCAAAUUCCCAUUUCACCUGAAACUGCAUUAGAACUGUUGAUGGCUGUAACUUUCUAGAUUGU
RNAcentral lists this long non-coding RNA (331 nucleotides) under Homo sapiens (human). RNAcentral describes it as "non-protein coding lnc-HSFY2-9:1". The record is from RNAcentral. Lineage: Eukaryota; Metazoa; Chordata; Mammalia; Primates; Hominidae.